Long non-coding RNA from Cydia fagiglandana, 5630 nucleotides. RefSeq lists it as uncharacterized. NCBI's taxonomy places the organism in Eukaryota, Metazoa, Arthropoda, Insecta, Lepidoptera, Tortricidae. The record is from RefSeq and is a predicted model, not a curated record. The transcript has 2 exons.
GCAAUACUGUAGUGUCGUCCCUUUCAUUCCAAUUCAUAUCAGAAAACGGGACGACACUACCUACAGUGUUGCCACUUUUUAAUUUCUACUCUUUUUGCCAAGCUGUAUAGCGGAAUAGUAUAUUUAUACUGGGUCAAGCAGAUCUUGUCAAUAGAAAAAGACGGCAAAUUUGAAAAAUGUAGGCGCGAAGGGAUAUUGAAAAUUUGAAUUUCGCGCCUUUUUCUACUGACAAGAUUUGCUUGACAAUCUAUAUUACAUACCUUUCCUAAAGCAGUAAAGUAAGAAAUAUCUUUCUCUUUUACUACCCGAGUAUUAUUUUUCUGCUCGACGGAGCCGGAAAGCGGCAACUUCGUUUAGCGCAGCGGGCCGCUUUCCGGCCGGAAGCCAGAAGAAAUAUUUCCCACUAUUCUUUAUAGUGCAUUGUGCCAUAUGGGGCGUAAGUUGAAUAUUGCAAACGAGAGUAAUUUAAAUCGCGACGGCUUGCCGAGUUGGCAAUAUUAUUACGCCCCGACUUACACACAAUGUUUUUCAUCACACUUGCGAUACAAAAAUUAAGUAUAAAGACAAAAAACUGUUAAUUAUGGCACUAGAAACUUCAUAACUCCCUUGGGAGAAAGCUUUUUCUUUAACUCCCGCUAAACCUGCGUGCAAUUCCACAUUUACUGGGCGAGUGUGAUGAAAAAGCAUAAGUACAGUCUCUGGCAACAGUAUCGGAUACAAAACGCUUCAAAAAUACCUCUAAAAUAGAAUUGUUUUAUAAAAUAAUUAAGUCUAUCUAUCUAUCCUAUUAUUUGAACGCUGUUAUUGGUUUUUUUUGCAUUAGAAAAAGACUAAGUACGUGUUCUUGACGUUGUAACAACAAAAUUCUAAUUCUUCAUUUUUUCAAUACUGUUUAGUAUGUGACCUAUAUUCGUUCGAUACCCUUAACGCCAUCUAGCGAGCUCAGUCGAUAACAACAUGGUCCGGGUUGCUAGAUUAAAAAAAUAAUUUCGGUGCCUUCCUACAUUUUGUUUAUUUUUUUAAUCGAAAGGGGUUUGUAAAUUAAAAUUGUCUUCAAAUAUUGUUUUUUCUUUCUAUUUAAUAUUAGUUCAAAUAAGUAAAGAAGAUAGGUAAUGUUUUCUUUUCAAAAUCACCUAGGAUUGCACGAAUCCAGUUCGGGCUGUGGCAACUCUGCCCUUUGACUUGUCAUUAUUCUUCCUGUCAAAAUGAAGAUCGUGGACCGUUUUUCUUUUGCGGUGUUUCGCCGUAUGAAAGCCGUUUAAUGGCUAUAAUACAUCCCAUCGGGAGACAUCUCCUUUUUAAGUGAGUAUUUUGGUGAUUUUUGCGACGGGUUUUGUGCAUAAGAUUCCAUUUAAUAGCGUGGUGAAUUUUAUUUCACAGUCCCGGAUUUUUAUCCUAUAUGGAAGUCCUGUGAGACGAUGGUGUGUUGGUGGAGGCCUCAUCGAGUCGACAUGCUGGUCAAUCCCGGCCACGUAUGCCGCUUCUCCUCGAUGGGUAAGUUAAUUACUUGUUUUUGAAUUCGUAAUCCUUACGCCCAUGCGGGGGUCCGCUCUUUAAAUCAUGAACCGAUUUUUCUCCUUUAUUUAGGUUCCAGCUUGUCAAAAGUCUGUGAACCCUGUCUUACUACCUGUAACUCGUUACAGGGCCUACCACUUAGUCUACAGUUUGGCUGUAAGGCAGCCCCCAGCCAGCUUGGUGUACCGGCGGUCGGGGCCUGUUCGCUAUUACUACAACUACCAUGGAUGCAGAGGCACUGCGACAUGAGUCUCCAUUAGUGUGUCGGCAGUGGUACCUUCCUUCUAAUGUCACUACUUAAAAGGUCAGAGACAACCAAUUUAUUAUAUUCUCCAAGGCGCCCAACUUACUUUAAAUAAUUUUCCUUAUUUUUUAUACCACGUACCCAGAGUGCCCAACCAUAAGAAAUGUAGCCGCCAAACCCACAUUUGCUCUCAUAUUUUUAGUUAAGUCUGUAGUAAGCUAGCCGAGGCUAUUUAAUAUAUUAUAAUGUCAUAAGUUAACAUUUGACACUUCUAAACUUAGAUAUUUGUCGUUUAGUCAAAUAAAUGUAUUAUAAGUAAUGUACUAGUUUCCUUUAUUCCAUUUUAAUUAGCCCCCUAAAAUAAUAAUGGUAACAGUGUCACCCAUCGCGGGGCUUUUCUUUUGGCGAGCACCCUUUAGUCACAUAUAAGUUAGCUAAAGGAACUUAUGGUUGGACAUCCUGUUUGCUUUAUUGUACCUACUUUUGUUUACUGCAAUAUUCAAAAUAAUUACUAUUUAAUUGUGGUUAGGACAGCCACAUGUUGUCAAUUGUCUACUUAUAUACUUAUGUUGUACUGUAAAGGAGUUGUAGUCUAAUUACUUAUUCAUUUGCUGGUAUUUAAACUCCAGAUGUUAUUAAUUUAAAGCAAUUUUAGACAAUUGUCGUAAACUUGACAAUUUAUUUUAUAAAUGUAUUUCCUUAAUGUUAAAAGUUUUUACUUCAUAAAAGACGUUGUAGUUUACCGGAUAGCAGACACACUAUGUUUUGACUAUUGUAUUUUUUUUUGUGAUUUAUAUAAUGUUUUACCGGAGAGUCACUCACAAAAGGUUAAACCCUUACCGGGUAGUGAGGUACUUAAGUGCUUAAACUUUAAUUUAUUUUUCACUUUCAAUUUUUUUUUGGUGACUUGUUUACAAACAAAAGUUUUUAAUUUACUAGAGGGUUAGUAGUAGUGUUAAAAAUGUAAUACCUAAUUUCCAUUGUUUUUUUUUAUAUACUUGAUGUGAAGGAUUAGUUACUGGUAAUUGUACUACUAUGGUAAUCUUGUUUGAAAGGAUGGACCGUAUUAUAAAUUUAUUACAUAAUGUAAAGGGAGCAAAUUUGGAGGUUAUAGUGAAGUACAGUCAGCAGGAGUUUACAUUUAUUAAGUUUAUUACGGGAUGUUUGGAGUUGAAGUUUAAAAUAAAUAAAAUUAAUAUUAAAUAGUUUCUUGACGUGGUUGGGUACAGUCAGUCACAAUUAUUGUUGUUGACUUACGUUUUUUUUUUAAAUAACUUACCGAUAUUCAAAUAGCGGUUUACCUUUAAGGUCGAAUCUUAUUGUAGUAGUUUUCACAAUUGUUUCGUACGGGAGUUAUGUUUAUUACCUACUUUUCCUUAUCUAUUGUCUCGACUUAAAUCGAGUUUUUUCCUUAUUGUUGUUAUUUUAGGUGAAGUAAAUAUUUACUUAUUAGUUAACUAUCGGUGAUUGCGCGUUUUUUUUUUUUGUUGAUGUUCGGUAGGAGUUUUUUUUUAUAUGUGUUGCGUGCAGGAGUUUUGUUUACGUAUUACUUUCUUUCGAUCGUGUCUGAGCAAACGUAACUCAGGCACGUGGUUUGUUUGUUGUUGGUGGGCGAAGAGGACGAUUUAAAGACUCUUCGCGUGUUUACCGGGGUGCUGGCGCUUUAAACCAGCAUUCCAAUCGGCACUGGCUGGUCGGGUUUUGGCGGACUUUAAACCGUCAAGCUCUUAAUAGCAGUGCCAUCUUCUUUGUUAACGCUUUGCGGUAUGACUUAAAUCAUAUGCGUGAACGUUAAUGUUGAUGUUAGGGGGUUGUUAUGUGGUACACGCCUUAAAGCGUCGUCCGCAAACAUCGGAUUUUUGUGUGUCAGACUGACAGACUUGCAUUGCUUGAAAUGGAGCCUGUACAGUCGACUUCCUUGUGUGUCUCGUGUUGUUUCGAACGUUACCGUCUGCCUGUCGUUCAGACACAGCUGGUCAACGUAUCGUUGUGUUGCGUUUUGUCUCGUUUCCGCGUUCAGACCUGUGUCGACUUAAGGCACGGCCUGAUAAAUGCGCGUUACUUGAAUGGUGUAAAGUAGCAGUCACCGAUCUUAGUUAGUUAAAUUUUACCUGGCUAUAAGCCGUCUAUCCACAGUGAGCGUUGGCAGUGCAGGGCGAAAUCCCUGAUUUCGCACUGCAGGGCCAGUGUUCCUGUGAGGAGUGUCGACUGGUAGCUCAGUGGCUCUUUAGCCGAGCUAUCGGACACUGCCCUUAACUCAUAUGGGUAAUUGACUGUACUCAGUCCUUACCACAGAUUAUUGAUUAAUCUGUUACCUUACGCACAUUCCGCCAUAUAAUUUGGACGUGCAGCCCGCGACCCAGGUCGCUCGCUGCGCCGCCAAGAUAUACAGCGAUGCAGUGCGUAGGUAGGGAGCUUUGCAGCUUCGCUUAUUAGCGUUUAGUUUCGUUUAGGUUAAUAUACGUUUAGGGUAUCGUAGUGUAUAUUACGGUAUAGUAAUAUUAUAGUUUGUAGGUGGUAACUUGUGCACAGCUCGGCUGUGCUUAUUUUUUUUAUUAUAGUUUAAUGCGUGGGUUCGAAUUGGGUGGUCGUUGCUUUCCUUUAUGCCUUUGGCGUCGAUUUUUUUUGGGACUUCUUCUAGAAAAUAAGAGGGUGGUUUUGCGAGCUGGGGGCCAGCUCAAAAUUUUGCCGUAGUCAAAAUUUUCUUCGGGUAGGGGAGCACUGUAACAACAAAAUUCUAAUUCUUCAUUUUUUCAAUACUGUUUAGUAUGUGACCUAUAUUCGUUCGAUACCCUUAACGCCAUCUAGCGAGCUCAGUCGAUAACAACAUGGUCCGGGUUGCUAGAUUAAAAAAAUAAUUUCGGUGCCUUCCUACAUUUUGUUUAUUUUUUUAAUCGAAAGGGGUUUGUAAAUUAAAAUUGUCUUCAAAUAUUGUUUUUUCUUUCUAUUUAAUAUUAGUUCAAAUAAGUAAAGAAGAUAGGUAAUGUUUUCUUUUCAAAAUCACCUAGGAUUGCACGAAUCCAGUUCGGGCUGUGGCAACUCUGCCCUUUGACUUGUCAUUAUUCUUCCUGUCAAAAUGAAGAUCGUGGACCGUUUUUCUUUUGCGGUGUUUCGCCGUAUGAAAGCCGUUUAAUGGCUAUAAUACAUCCCAUCGGGAGACAUCUCCUUUUUAAUCCCGGAUUUUUAUCCUAUAUGGAAGUCCUGUGAGACGAUGGUGUGUUGGUGGAGGCCUCAUCGAGUCGACAUGCUGGUCAAUCCCGGCCACGUAUGCCGCUUCUCCUCGAUGGGUAAGUUAAUUACUUGUUUUUGAAUUCGUAAUCCUUACGCCCAUGCGGGGGUCCGCUCUUUAAAUCAUGAACCGAUUUUUCUCCUUUAUUUAGGUUCCAGCUUGUCAAAAGUCUGUGAACCCUGUCUUACUACCUGUAACUCGUUACAGGGCCUACCACUUAGUCUACAGUUUGGCUGUAAGGCAGCCCCCAGCCAGCUUGGUGUACCGGCGGUCGGGGCCUGUUCGCUAUUACUACAACUACCAUGGAUGCAGAGGCACUGCGACAUGAGUCUCCAUUAGUGUGUCGGCAGUGGUACCUUCCUUCUAAUGUCACUACUUAAAAGGUCAGAGACAACCAAUUUAUUAUAUUCUCCAAGGCGCCCAACUUACUUUAAAUAAUUUUCCUUAUUUUUUAUACCACGUACCCAGAGUGCCCAACCAUAAGAAAUGUAGCCGCCAAACCCACAUUUGCUCUCAUAUUUUUAGUUAAGUCUGUAGUAAGCUAGCCGAGGCUAUUUAAUAUAUUAUAAUGUCAUAAGUUAACAUUUGACACUUCUAAACUUAGAUAUUUGUCGUUUAGUCAAAUAAAUGUAUUAUAAGUAA